ACCACUCCUACGGGAGGCAGCAGUGGGGAAUAUUGGACAAUGGGCGCAAGCCUGAUCCAGCCAUGCCGCGUGAGUGAUGAAGGCCCUAGGGUUGUAAAGCUCUUUCACCGGUGAAGAUAAUGACGGUAACCGGAGAAGAAGCCCCGGCUAACUUCGUGCCAGCAGCCGCGGUAAUACGAAGGGGGCUAGCGUUGUUCGGAUUUACUGGGCGUAAAGCGCACGUAGGCGGACUAUUAAGUCAGGGGUGAAAUCCCGGGGCUCAACCCCGGAACUGCCUUUGAUACUGGUAGUCUUGAGUUCGAGAGAGGUGAGUGGAAUUCCGAGUGUAGAGGUGAAAUUCGUAGAUAUUCGGAGGAACACCAGUGGCGAAGGCGGCUCACUGGCUCGAUACUGACGCUGAGGUGCGAAAGCGUGGGGAGCAAACAGGAUUAGAAACCCUAGUAGUCCC
RNAcentral lists this ribosomal RNA (448 nucleotides) under uncultured organism. RNAcentral describes it as "partial 16S ribosomal RNA". It matches the Rfam family "Bacterial small subunit ribosomal RNA", at positions 332 to 797 of the family's 1533-position model. The record is from RNAcentral.